GCCCGCUCAGAAACUCAAAUGAAUUGACGGGGGCCCGCACAAGCGGUGGAGCAUGUGGUUUAAUUCGAUGAUACGCGAGGAACCUUACCUGGGCUCAAAUGUAUGUUGACGUAUUCUGAAAGGGAUACUUCUUCGGACAAUAUACAAGGUGCUGCAUGGUUGUCGUCAGCUCGUGCCGUGAGGUGUCGGGUUAAGUCCCAUAACGAGCGCAACCCCUAUCAUUAGUUGCCAUCAGGUCAAGCUGGGGACUCUAAUGAAACUGCCUACGCAAGUAGUGAGGAAGGUGGGGAUGACGUCAAAUCAGCACGGCCCUUACGUCCAGGGCUACACACGUGCUACAAUGGCCGGUACAAAGGGCAGCUACCUGGUGACAGGAUGCUAAUCUCAAAAGCCGGUCUCAGUUCGGAUCGGAGUCUGCAACCCGACUCCAUGAAGUUGGAAUCGCUAGUAAUCGCGCAUCAGCAUGGCGCGGUGAAUACGUUCCCGGGCCUU
RNAcentral lists this ribosomal RNA (492 nucleotides) under uncultured Sphingobacteriales bacterium. RNAcentral's name for it is "bacterial SSU rRNA". It matches the Rfam family "Bacterial small subunit ribosomal RNA", at positions 887 to 1382 of the family's 1533-position model. Lineage: Bacteria; Pseudomonadati; Bacteroidota; Sphingobacteriia; Sphingobacteriales. The record is from RNAcentral.